AACGAACGCUGGCGGCACGCCUAACACAUGCAAGUCGAGCGCUACCUUCGGGUGGAGCGGCGGACGGGUUAGUAACGCGUGGGAACAUACCCUUUUCUACGGAAUAGCCUCGGGAAACUGAGAGUAAUACCGUAUACGCCCCUCGGGGGAAAGAUUUAUCGGUGAAGGAUUGGCCCGCGUAAGAUUAGAUAGUUGGUGGGGUAAUGGCCUACCAAGUCGACGAUCUUUAGCUGGUUUGAGAGGAUGAUCAGCAACACUGGGACUGAGACACGGCCCAG
This 278-nucleotide ribosomal RNA is filed under the name uncultured Thalassovita sp. RNAcentral's name for it is "uncultured Thalassobius sp. partial 16S ribosomal RNA". It matches the Rfam family "Bacterial small subunit ribosomal RNA", at positions 29 to 334 of the family's 1533-position model. The record is from RNAcentral. Lineage: Bacteria; Pseudomonadati; Pseudomonadota; Alphaproteobacteria; Rhodobacterales; Roseobacteraceae.